RNAcentral lists this long non-coding RNA (4497 nucleotides) under Musa acuminata (dwarf banana). RNAcentral describes it as "long non-coding RNA (MACU_LNC007941)". The record is from RNAcentral. Lineage: Eukaryota; Viridiplantae; Streptophyta; Magnoliopsida; Zingiberales; Musaceae.
AUUCAUUUCGAUUCAUCGACAACAUUUCAUUACAUACAAAAUAUGCUUAUACAACAAUAGCAUAACAACCAACAAGACUUGCCCAUAAUUCUGAAUAGCUCUCCACUGCCUCAGCCCAAUUCAAACAUCUCAAAAAGUGACAAGCUGACCUGAAAGAUUUUAUAUAACAACAGAGUGAGCUAAAAACAACUCAGCAAGUGACAAAGCAUAUUCAGAACAAAAGGAACGAUUUCAAACAAGUAAGGUAUCAUAAUACAAGACAGAAUACAAGAAUUCUCAAUGAUACCAUCUCAUUAGAUACAAAAUUAUAUGUAUCAUUUCAAUCAAAACAUAUUUGGUUCCAAAACAAAUGGAGCAUAUCAAUAGCGUAGGAAAUGUUCCGGAGCAUAUCAAUGGCAUAUGGAACAUUUCGGAGUAUGCUAAUAACAGAUGAAACAUUUCGGAGCAAAACAACAAUGAAUGAAAUAUUUCGGAGCAUAUCAAUAACAAAUGAAAUGUUUCAAAGCUUAUCAAUGGCAUAUGAAAUGUUCCGGAGCAUAUCAAUGGCGUAUGGAACAUUUCGGAGCAUAUCAAUAAUGAAUGAAACAUUUCGGAGCAUAUCAAUAACAAAUGAAACAUUUCAGAGCUUAUUAAUGGCAUAUGAAAUGUUCCGGAGCAUAUCAACGGCGUAUGGAACAUUUCGGAGCAUAUCAAUAAUUAAUAAAAUAUUUUGGAGCAUAUCAAUAACAAAUGAAACGUUUUGGAGCUUAUCAAUGGCAAAUGAAACGUUUCGGAACAUAUCAAUGGCAUAUGGACCAUUUCGGAGCAUAUCAAAGAACGAAUAUGAAACAAAAGCUCAAACGUCGAAUUUGACGUUGCAUUCAUAUCAUUCUUAUCCAAAGCAUGUAUAGAAACACAUAACCAAAGCUCUCGAUAUUAUAUUAAACAUAUAGAAGGUGAAGUGGGACCAUAACAUAAUAUGGUACAUCCAUUUCUGAAUGACCACCAAACAUAAGUCUCCCACGUCUGGGAGCUCCAUCCACCCACGUCUGAGUGAAGUCAUAAGGGCCGGCAGAGCAUCACAAGCUCUAUGCAUAACUCCCUUCACCAUUUCUAGCAAAGGUUCACAAUAUCCCACAAACACUAGAGUACAAAAGGAUAGUAUGAACAAUAAAUAGCACAUAUCGGAAGCACACACGGAACAACAAAACGUACAUGUACCUUUACGAGUCAAUACGAAGUAAGCAAUAAUCCUUCACAAUUGUAUUCAGAUUUGAAAGGAAAUGAAAGCAAGAGCAUUCAAGGAUUCCAAGCAAUCACAUAUAACUCAAUUCAAAUAAGAAGGUUAGAUGAAUUCAAUGUCCAAAGGAAUGAAACUGGAAUAGGCACAUAUCGAAAGCAAAUGUGGAACAAUGGGAUAUACAUGUGCCUAUAUGAGUCAAUACGAUAUAGCAUAAACGUUAUACAAUAUUUUUCAAGAAUGCAAAUAAUUUUAAGGACAAGAGCAUACAAGAAUUCAAAGCAGUAAUAUAAAGCUCAAUUGAAUAAGAAAGCUAAAGGAUAUCAAUUUCCAAAGGAAUGAAACCAGAAUAUGCGAAAUUGACCAAAGCUCGAUUUCUGGCGGAAUUCAAGAGGCACAUUGAACAAAUGAUUCAAACUAUCAAUCGUGCUCCAAUUUACUCAGAAAUAUAUCAUUGGAAAGAUAUUUCAAUCUACUUUCAGAUAAAAUAAGCUUCAUAUGAAUUGAACUGUCCAAUAGAGAGUUACAAAUAAUUUGGUAAACAAGGGUCGGAGAACAAAAUCUCUAUUUGGCAGAAUUCAUAAGGUCAUAUUCAAUAGAUAACUUUGUAGGUGUUGUUAGGAUCAAGAGCACUAAGAGGGGGGGGUGAAUUAGUGCAGCAAAAAACUUUCGACGAUUAAAAUCGCGUUCAUGCGAUAAGAGCGACUUCGGUGUGAAAGCUGAUUCUAAGAUUACUUUAACUUAAGAUCAAGCGAGAUGACGUUAAAGUAAAUCUAUGAAGGCAAUUUGCAGUUAUGAUGAAGAUCAGAAUAUAAGCACAAACUGAAAUACGACGUUCGUACGAUAAAAGCGAUUUUGGUAUGAAAGCCGAUUCGUAAACCACUUUAACUUGAGAUGAAGUGAGAUGUAGUUAAAGCACAGAUAUAAAGGCAGUUUGCAGUUAUGAUAGAAAUCAGAACGUAAGUGCAAACUGAAAUAUGAUGUUCGUACGAUAAAACUGAUUUGCGUCUAAACGCCGAUUCGGAAUGCACUGAACUAUGAAACACGUUCGUAAAAGCACAGAAGGCAGUAAGCUAUUGAGGAGGUUUGUAGUAAAGAUAAGAUGCUCAAAGUAAACGCAAACCGAGAUUUAGAGUGGUUCGGUCAAUCUUGACCUACUCCACUUUUGGUUUCCUCCACCGACGAGGUCACCGACGUCAACUAGAGGCCUUCUUUCAAUAGGCGAAGGCCAACCACCCUUUUACAGUUUCACUCCUUUUGACGGGCUUAGGAGACAACCCUUACAAAAUUUUCUCUCCUCUCUUUAAAGCUCAGAACUUAGAAGAAAAGAGGGAGAAGAACUUUUGGCCUUUACAACAAUUUUGAGCUCUAAAAAUCACAGAACAAGAACAAGAUUUCGGUGUAUGUUCAAUACUCUUUCAGUGCUGAAUGGGUGGGGUAUUUAUAAGCCCCAACCCAGUUCAAAUUUGGAGCUCAAAACUAUCAAUUUCCGGAAUUCCGGGAUCUGGCGGUUGCACCUCUUGACUGGAGCGGUUGCACCGCCUGGCAAAGCUCGAAGACUGAGCCUCUGGGCUGUGCCACCUCCUGUCAGGGGCGGUUGCACCUCCUGCCAGAGCUCGAAGACCGAGCUCAGGCGGUGCCUCCUCUUGACUGAGGAGGUUGCACCGCUCAGCCAGAGCUCGGAGACCGAGCCCAGGCGGUGCCACCUCCUGUCAAGGGAGGUUGCACCGCCUAGUCUCGCUCGGAGACUAAGCCCAGGCGGUGCCACCUCCUGGCUGGGGCGGUUGCACCGCCUAGUCUCGCUCGGAGACUUAGCCCAGGCGGUGCCACCUCCUGGCUUGGGCGGUUCAACCGCUUGGCAGAAAUCAGGGUUCGAAUGGGUUGAUCCAUUCGGCCCAAUUUGGGUUUUUCAGGGGCCCAAUUGCCCCAAGAUUAAGUUAAUGGGAUCACCUCCCAUUUCCAACUUAAUCAUUGUGCUAACUACGAUUUUUCCUAAGACAUUUACUACAACUUGCUCUGGUGCGUCAAUCGCUUCUUCCUGCGAGCUUCCGGCGAACUUCCGUCGAUCAUCCGAUGAACCCUCGGUGAUGCUCCUGCAGACUUCCGGCAAACUCCUGGACUUGCGACAAUCCACUUGGCGAGUUCCGACGAGCUUCUUUGGCAAGCUCAUGGACUUCUCGGAUUUGUUCCCGUAGAACCUCCGACGACUGUCCGAACUUCCGUCGAACUCUCGAACUCCCAACGUGAUCAUUGUCUUGACUCCGGCGCAACUCUUACUGCAUGUCUUUCUUCUAUCGUAGUUAAUCCUGCACACUUAAAACAAAACUUCGAUCGAGACAAUUAAUCCUACGCAAUUAACCAAGUUGUCCGGCUUGUCAUUGGUCCCUCGACGCUUCGUCCGAUUCUUCGGCGCAUCGUCCUCUCCUGCAGCCUAUUGCCCAAUCGGCCUGUUGACUCCGUAACUCCGAUAUCCUUGGCACAAUACCCGCUCUUCUUGGCUCGAUGCCCGAGUCCAUGGCCCGAAGCCUUCUGUCGAUACGUCGACCGAUCCACUGGCCCGACGUCCAAUCUUCUGACAUGUUCCUCCAGCACAACAUGAUUUUCCUGCUUUAAUUGUCUCAUCCUGAUCGAAGCAUCCUACGUCACUCAAAACGCAGAUUAAAUCAUAAACAUAUAUCAAGUAGUUUCAUCAUCAAAAACGAGAUUCAAUAGGUGUUUGGACUCCAAAUCUUUCAAUUCAUAUAUCAAAAGAAAGUUCUACGAGUCUAGUUUCUAAUGAAAUCAGUUUUGAACAAAUCAGAGUUUCCAACAUUGAUUUAUUGGCAGCUCGGUAUCAAAAGGUCAGAAAUUACAAUCCCUGCUUUACAGAAUCUGUAGGCUCAUUUGAAACAUAAGUCUGGGUAGGCAAACUUACUCUGAAUUCUUAAAAUAAGCUAUUAAAAGAAAGGUUUAUGAGUCUAUAUUCUGAUCAAAUAAGUUUUAUCCAAAUCAGAGGUCAAUAAUGAAGUUAUAACCAUAACAAGGUAGAAAGGUCAGAAUCUUAGAAGUUGCACAGAUUCGAAUUGUUACAUCUAAACAGGAGAUAUAUCAAAUGCAAGGCUAGAACAAUUCAAAGUUCCUCAUAUUCAAAGCAAAUGUAUAGAUAAAAUUAUAGUAAGGAAAGAUCAGGACACUUGCAAUAGGAAAUAUUAGAAAGGUUGCAAUAGGAAGGAUCGGAACACUUACCUUUCAAAGAUUUUGAUCCGAAGAUCCAAAAAAGGUGUCAGCCCAAAUCCUUC